This 504-nucleotide ribosomal RNA is filed under the name uncultured bacterium. RNAcentral's name for it is "bacterial SSU rRNA". It matches the Rfam family "Bacterial small subunit ribosomal RNA", at positions 28 to 517 of the family's 1533-position model. The record is from RNAcentral.
GAUGAACGCUAGCUACAGGCUUAACACAUGCAAGUCGAGGGGAAACGAUAUUGGAAGCUUGCUUCCGAUAGGCGUCGACCGGCGCACGGGUGAGUAACGCGUAUCCAACCUGCCCACCACUUGGGGAUAACCUUGCGAAAGUAAGACUAAUACCCAAUGAUAUCUCUAGAAGACAUCUGAAAGAGAUUAAAGAUUUAUCGGUGAUGGAUGGGGAUGCGUCUGAUUAGCUUGUUGGUGGGGUAACGGCCCACCAAGGCGACGAUCAGUAGGGGUUCUGAGAGGAAGGUCCCCCCACAUUGGAACUGAGACACGGUCCAAACUCCUACGGGAGGCAGCAGUGAGGAAUAUUGGUCAAUGGGGCGAGAGCCUGAACCAGCCAAGUAGCGUGCAGGAUGACGGCCCUAUGGGUUGUAAACUGCUUUUAUAAGGGAAUAAAGUGAGUCUCGUGAGACUUUUUGCAUGUACCUUAUGAAUAAGGACCGGCUAAUUCCGUGCCAGCAGCCG